AAGUCGGAUGUGAAAUCCCCGGGCUCAAACUGGGAAAUGCAUUCGAAACUGGCAGGCUAGAGUCUUGUAGAGGGGGGUAGAAUUCCAGGUGUAGCGGUGAAAUGCGUAGAGAUCUGGAGGAAUACCGGUGGCGAAGGCGGCCCCCUGGACAAAGACUGACGCUCAGGUGCGAAAGCGUGGGGAGCAAACAGGAUUAGAUACCCUGGUAGUCCACGCCGUAAACGAUGUCGA
This 231-nucleotide ribosomal RNA is filed under the name Acinetobacter baumannii. RNAcentral's name for it is "partial 16S ribosomal RNA". It matches the Rfam family "Bacterial small subunit ribosomal RNA", at positions 585 to 815 of the family's 1533-position model. Lineage: Bacteria; Pseudomonadati; Pseudomonadota; Gammaproteobacteria; Moraxellales; Moraxellaceae. The record is from RNAcentral.